RNAcentral lists this ribosomal RNA (343 nucleotides) under uncultured fungus. RNAcentral describes it as "eukaryotic LSU rRNA". The stretch from base 1 to 71 matches the Rfam family "5.8S ribosomal RNA", at positions 84 to 154 of the family's 154-position model. The record is from RNAcentral. Lineage: Eukaryota; Fungi.
GUGAAUCAUCGAAUCUUUGAACGCACCUUGCGCUCCUUGGUAUUCCGAGGAGCAUGCCUGUUUGAGUGUCAUUAAAUUCUCAACCAACAACGGAUUUCGAUUCAUUUGUUUGGCUUGGACUUUGGGGGUCUGCCGUUCUUGAUACAGCUAGAUCGGCUCCCCUUUAAAUGCAUUAGCUGGAACGUUAACUCGUUGCAGACUACGGUGUGAUAAUUAUCUACGCUGUCUGGUCUGUGAAAGAGGUUCUGCUUCUAAUCGUCCUUCACUGUGACAAUGGGUGGGAGUUUACUCUUCUGCUUGACAUUUUGACCUCAAAUCAGGUAGGACUACCCGCUGAACUUAA